CCUGGUAGGUUAAGGCAAUAUGUCGGAAAAUCUGGUCAGGUCCGAAAGGAAGCAGCCACAUUCGGCCUCUAUUGGGUUUAGCCUACCUUAUCU
Molecule: signal recognition particle RNA, 93 nt
Filed under: Sphingobacteriia bacterium
Lineage: Bacteria; Pseudomonadati; Bacteroidota; Sphingobacteriia
Description: signal recognition particle sRNA small type
Rfam family: Bacterial small signal recognition particle RNA
About the family: The signal recognition particle (SRP) is a universally conserved ribonucleoprotein involved in the co-translational targeting of proteins to membranes. Archaeal SRP consists of a 7S RNA and homologues of the eukaryotic SRP19 and SRP54 proteins.
Source: RNAcentral